Molecule: long non-coding RNA, 532 nt
Filed under: Oryctolagus cuniculus (rabbit)
Lineage: Eukaryota; Metazoa; Chordata; Mammalia; Lagomorpha; Leporidae
Description: lncRNA (ENSOCUG00000030242.1)
Source: RNAcentral
AUGUUGGUUUCCUACCCUCCCUCCUCCAAGUCUACACGUUGGGUAGUGCUGUGCCUGAGCCAAUCAACAGCAUCAGCAUUGGGCCAGCCCAGGCCAGCUAGAGCCAGUGAAACUCGGGGAGAACUUUCACUUCUUAGACCUCAGUUUGUCCCCCGUGCCUGCGAGAGCCAGGGCUGGGGCUGGGGCCAUCGUCUUGCAACAACAGGUUCUGGAGGAGCCGCGGGACCUUGGACUGCUCGCCGCUUCUCUGAGCCUGGAGUUGCCAACCGCCCUGCAGCGCGGAGAGGGAGGCCACAGCAUCGGGGAGACAGCAGCACGGGCUGGGCUGGGCUCCCUGAUCCAGGGGGUUCUCUGGGAGCCGUGGGCCCUACUGGGAGCGAUCCUGUGACCAGCCGCCUCGCCUCGCCGCCUUUGUUUUUGGAACACGGACCCCCUGCCCUGCGAAGGCCACCUGUGGCCAGCUUCCGGGUCUGGUUUCUCGAAGUCUCCAUUCUUUGGAAGCCGCUUCCGGCAUAGAAGCCAGUCCUCUAGG